GGAAUUUUCCGCAAUGGGCGAAAGCCUGACGGAGCAAUGCCGCGUGGAGGACGAAGGCUCGUGGGUCGUAAACUCCUUUUCUUAGAGAAGAAGCUCUGACGGUAUCUAAGGAAUCAGCAUCGGCUAACUCCGUGCCAGCAGCCGCGGUAAUACGGGGGAUGCAAGCGUUAUCCGGAAUCAUUGGGCGUAAAGCGUCUGUAGGUGGUUUAGCAAGUCUGCUGUCAAAGACUAGGGCUUAACCCUGGAAAGGCAGUGGAAACUGUUAGGCUUGAGUACGGUAGGGGCAGAGGGAAUUCCCGGUGUAGCAGUGAAAUGUGUAGAGCUCGGGAAAAACACCAAUGGCGAAAGCACUCUGCUGGGCCGUGACUGACACUGAGAGACGAAAGCUAGGGGAGCGAAUGGGAUUAGAUACCCCUGUAGUC
Molecule: ribosomal RNA, 422 nt
Filed under: uncultured eukaryotic phytoplankton
Lineage: Eukaryota
Description: bacterial SSU rRNA
Rfam family: Bacterial small subunit ribosomal RNA
Source: RNAcentral